Molecule: ribosomal RNA, 474 nt
Filed under: uncultured bacterium
Lineage: Bacteria
Description: bacterial SSU rRNA
Rfam family: Bacterial small subunit ribosomal RNA
Source: RNAcentral
UAAUCUGCCCUCGGGUGGGGGAUAACAGCCGGAAACGGCUGCUAAUACCGCAUAACGCGGCGGCGCUUUCGGGCGCGGCCGUUAAAGCGGGGGAACUCUUCGGAGUCCUCGCGCCUGUGGAGGAGCUCGCGGCGGAUUAGCUAGUUGGUGGGGUAACGGCCCACCAAGGCGUCGAUCCGUAGCCGGCCUGAGAGGGCGGCCGGCCACACUGACACUGACACACGGGUCAGACUCCUACGGGAGGCAGCAGUCGGGAAUUUUGGGCAAUGGGCGCAAGCCUGACCCAGCAACGCCGCGUGAAGGAUGAAGUUUCUCGGAAUGUAAACUUCAUAAGAGUGGGAAGAAUAAGUGGGGGCUAAGACCCCCCAUGAUGACGGUACCACUUGUAAAGCCCCGGCUAACUCCGUGCCAGCAGCCGCGGUAAUACGGGGGGGGCAAGCGUUGUUCGGAUUUACUGGGCGUAAAGGGCGCGUA